GACCUCGUAGCUCAGUUGGUAGAGCAUUGAAUGACUUGUAUGCCAAAGUCGAGGGUUCGAUUCCCACCGUGGUCA
Non-coding RNA from Paramuricea clavata, 75 nucleotides. The record is from the annotation of a GenBank genome assembly. Lineage: Eukaryota; Metazoa; Cnidaria; Anthozoa; Malacalcyonacea; Plexauridae.